GACCACAAGGUCCUUCCGAGGCUGCCAGGCCAAAGCUGCUUUGCAACAAAGAACUUCUUCACUCAGUCUUUCUUUUCAUUACUAUUUGUAUUCCCCUUUGUAGAUAAACUGCAGUCAUACCUCGCAGAGAAGCAAGGCAAGAUUUCCACUAAGGACAGCAAGCACUGACUUUCUUGUUCACUUUAUAGGCUUCAUCAUCCUGGAACCAUCCUGCAAAAAUUUGCACCAGAGAGUAGAUCCAUGUUCUGACUGCGAUCACGGGAAACCUUCCUUUUGCUCCCAUUUGAAGAGUUUUCAGCUGGAAGAGUGCAUAUCAAGUGAAGUGACUCAGAUGUGCAUGCUGUAUUGGAGUAGCAAGGGCCAACAGCAGAGUGCAGGAAAACAGCUCCCAGAAAAGUUGGGCCUGAGAAAGAAAGCAGAGCAGGUCUGGAGAACAUGGCCAGAUCCAAAUGAGCCUACAUAUUCAGGUGAUUCCAAGGGGACAACAGUGCCAAGGCCAGGCCAGCCUGUGGGUGAAGGUGCACUAACGCAGUCUCCUGAGCAGCAUACCUAACGGAAUUUGUUUUGCCACGGAUCAUGUCCCAUGUCUGAGUGCAACAUCUACCUGAAAUUUUUCUCAUGAUAAGGUAUGCAUAACAACAGUAUCCCAUGGAGAUUCACUUGUGGCUGACAAGAUUAAGUGGCACCUGUAGC
RNAcentral lists this long non-coding RNA (693 nucleotides) under Meleagris gallopavo (turkey). RNAcentral's name for it is "lncRNA (ENSMGAG00000018546.1)". Lineage: Eukaryota; Metazoa; Chordata; Aves; Galliformes; Phasianidae. The record is from RNAcentral.